UAGGGAAUCUUCCGCAAUGGACGAAAGUCUGACGGAGCAACGCCGCGUGAGUGAAGAAGGAUUUCGGUUCGUAAAACUCUGUUGUUAGGGAAGAAAAAAUGUAUAGUAACUAUAUACAAAAGAGACGGUACCUAACCAGAAAGCCACGGCUAACUACGUGCCAGCAGCCGCGGUAAUACGUAGGUGGCAAGCGUUGUCCGGAAUUAUUGGGCGUAAAGCGCGCGCAGGUGGUUUAGAAAGUCUGAUGUGAAAGCCCACGGCUCAACCGUGGAGGGUCAUUGGAAACUAAUAAACUUGAGUGCAGGAGAGAAAAGUGGAAUUCCUAGUGUAGCGGUGAAAUGCGUAGAGAUUAGGAGGAACACCGGUGGCGAAAGCGGCUUUUUGGCUGCAACUGACACUGAGGCGCGAAAGCGUGGGGAGCAAACAGG
This 428-nucleotide ribosomal RNA is filed under the name Verrucomicrobiota bacterium. RNAcentral describes it as "Verrucomicrobia bacterium partial 16S ribosomal RNA". It matches the Rfam family "Bacterial small subunit ribosomal RNA", at positions 355 to 776 of the family's 1533-position model. The record is from RNAcentral. Lineage: Bacteria; Pseudomonadati; Verrucomicrobiota.